UUUCAUAUGGACAAAAAUAGGUCACGCAACAAAAAAUCAUCAAUAGUUUAGCAAGUUUGUACCCUCAAGAAUGAACAUAUAGCAAUAUCUGUUGUCCCCCCAUAACAUACGGAAAUCAAAAUCAGCUCAACUUAGAUGACUAGCUAACUCAUUUUUCACAUAGCAAUAUCUGUUGUCCCCCCAUUGUACCUAAAGAACUAGCGGCUGCUGCUCCUC
This 216-nucleotide long non-coding RNA is filed under the name Hordeum vulgare. RNAcentral describes it as "long non-coding RNA (HVUL_LNC020759)". Lineage: Eukaryota; Viridiplantae; Streptophyta; Magnoliopsida; Poales; Poaceae. The record is from RNAcentral.